GCCAGCAUGGCAUAGUGGUUUGAGUAUUGGACUACAACUCUAGAGACCAGGGUUCCAUUCCCAGCUUGGCC
This 71-nucleotide transfer RNA is filed under the name Phrynosoma platyrhinos (Desert horned lizard). RNAcentral describes it as "tRNA-OTHER". Lineage: Eukaryota; Metazoa; Chordata; Lepidosauria; Squamata; Phrynosomatidae. The record is from RNAcentral.